UACGUAGGGUGCGAGCGUGUCCGGAAUUAUUGGGCGUAAAGAGCUUGUAGGCGGUUUGUCGCGUCUGCCGUGAAAAUUCGAGGCUCAACCUCGAACUUGCGGUGGGUACGGGGCAGACUAGAGUGCGGUAGGGGGAGAUUGGAAUUCCUGGUGUAGCGGUGGAAUGCGCAGAUAUCAGGAGGAACACCGGUGGCGAAGGCGGUUCUCUGGGCAUGUCCUGACGCUGAGGAGCGAAAGUGUGGGGGAGCGAACGG
This 254-nucleotide ribosomal RNA is filed under the name uncultured bacterium. RNAcentral's name for it is "partial 16S ribosomal RNA". It matches the Rfam family "Bacterial small subunit ribosomal RNA", at positions 524 to 775 of the family's 1533-position model. The record is from RNAcentral.